UCCCAUUCUUGUGGAAUGGAUUUGAGCAGGCAAAUGACAUCGUGGGAGGAGGAAUUGUGUGAAAUGGAGUGACACAAGAAAAACUAAAGGGGUGAAGUGGAAGACUACAGAAAAAUGGAGAGACGCCCAGGUGAAAGAAAGGAAGCUGGCAAACUGCAGACAUCUGAACUCCCUUAUACAGAGAAAAUGGAAACAAAUAAAAUCCUGCCUUAUGCUGCCCCUUGUAAUUUUCCAGAAAUAUUCAGUAAUUUUCCCUGGAGUCCCAUGCUGACAGCUGGCAGAUGCUGAAUGAGAGAAGGUCCCUAGAAUGAGGAUGGCAAGGUCACAUCUGGAAUGCCUGUGAAGAUACUGAUGCAGUGAAUCACAAGCAACUUCUGCUGCCACGUAGUGGCAGCGAGAAAAGCUGCCAUAUGACAGAUCUUUGUAGUCCUUGUCCGAAGAUGAUGUCUUCGUAUUUUUAUUAAUGAUGUUCUCUGGUAACAAGUGUGCUAAUUUUAGGAUGUUAGAAUCACAGAGGAAGGGGAAGACCUUAAGCAAUACUGUUUCUGCAGACUUAACUUAGUGUGCAAGUAACUCCUUAUAAACUACAUAGCAUUCUCCUAUGCCAUAGGUUUAUUUAAAAGUGUUGCUAAGAAGGUGUUUAAAAGCUUGUAUUUCAGAGACUGUGUAUGAAUAGUACCUCUCACUGCCGUGGUUGCUAUAGUAAACCCUUGUUCUUACUUGAACACUACAAUAAAUAAUACUUUAAAACUGGAGAGGAAAGUAAAAAGAAAAAACUCCAUUAGGCGUUCCAUGAGCCACUUGAAAUUACUGAUCAUUUUUCAUGUUUUGCAAGUAUGGAAUGCUUUGUGCAGCUAUAGAAUAGCAACACCUGCAUAAUUGUGAUGUUUUCUCUGCAUAAGUUGUUCCUCAAAACUUCUCAGGAUACAAUGUGGUUCAGAGCACCUCUGUCAAUAAGGAAAAGAGCAAUGAGUGGGAUUAAAAUUAGCUGUUUUCUUAAAAUUAUAUACAUUUAAGACCCAGUUUCAGAGUAGAAGAGGAUACGAAGGGUAGAAGUGAUCCUUGAAAUGAUCCAUGCUGUAACUGCUGCCAGUGGAGUUGGACUGGAGGUAAAUUUUCCAAUCUUUUCCCUUGGUGUUAAAAUGUAGUAGUUCACAAGCAUUGCAGUUAAAGAUUUCACCCAUGCUGAUGGCAGCCCUAGAGUACUACAGAUAAUGCUGUCCAGGAGAGAAAGUACAUGCUGGGGAGGGUAACAAGACAGAGGAUGCUGAGCAGCUGGGAACUAUAGCAGCUCCUUUCUACCUGGGUGUGAAAAGGAAGAGAAAGAACCUUGAAGGCCAGAUGGACUCUUUGAGGGCUGAGAGAAAUGUCCCAUACAUAAUGAUAAACAGCUGUGAGGCAAAAGACUUGCAGGCCCCUGAGGGGAAGGAGAAGGAAGAGUGAGGUUAACAGAAGUAGAUUAUGCUAUCAUAGUAAAGCAGCGAAAGAGAUUGAUAAAUGAAAUGCUGGGUUCAGAGUUACUGGCAUGAGGCAAAUGGUAUUUAUAUAUAAAGCACUGGAGUUGGAAUAAGCUGAUUUGGGCCUAUUUUGUCCUUUGAUCAGACUGCACAUGUCCUCGGUCCUCUGUCUCGUCUUCCCAGCUGCAUGCUGGGGCUAGUGCUUUCUUUUGCAGGGCUUUUGACAGAGGCAAACGUACUAUUGAGCUGUUCAGAUGAUGCGCCAACAUGGGCUAUAGCAGAAGACAUCUUUUGUGGACUGCUGCUCACUCAAGGAGUGGGAGACAUUUAUUCCUCACCAGCUAAGAUGCUUCUCAUGGAUCUGCAUCCUCAUUAGCAGACAGCAUCUUUUUUUUCUUGUAAUUAGCUGACAGUUCAAUAGGUAGCUCCAGUCUCUUUUACACCUGGAAAACAAUCAACAUGGAAAUCAUAGAAGCACAUGUCUUCCCUUCCUACUUUAAAGCAGUCUGAGUUACACACAUUGUUAAACACAUAAUACACAACAACUGUGUGUUAGAGCUCUCCAGAACAUGUGUGAAAUAAUGUUGGUUUGGUUUUUUUUUCCCUUUCCUUUCUUAAUUGGCUUCAGUUUGAAACGUACUUUAGCUUCUCUGACUUCUGUAUUAGCCUCAACGCACCAGUCAUGGAUCGGGCCAUAAGGAACUGUUUCCAGCCACCUGAACAGUGGAAACGGGAAGCGAGGGCAGCUGGAGGGGGGAGCGUGCACCAGCUGGCCCUGCUCCUGAGGCAUUAUAACUGGAUUCUUUGGGGUAGAAGGGUGUGAGGUCUCAGGUCAUUUCCUGCCAGGUUUGCUCUGAAUGGGAGGGGGAUAUGUAAUUGUGCUGUCUCCUUGUACCAUUAGUGUCAAGACUCAUUAGGAACUCAAUCUACUCAGUGGCAGUAGGCAUACAAAAGAAAGAACUAGCCAAAGUCUGCAGACUGCAGAGCAGGAGUUGGUGGAGGGAGCAAUUGUAAAUUCCCGUCUGGGUAAUUAGAGUCAGCAGGGAAUCAGAUUGGCUACGGCAGGGCUUUCAUUUUUCCCCUUGCUGUUUUAACGGGAUUGGCAGGUGCUGCUUUAUUCCAGGGGUGAGGUGAUGUGCCUGUGUCAUAAUUCACAAUGAGAAAUGAUCAUCAAUUUGCUACCAUGCUCCUGGGGUUCCUGUCUGGAAUGAAUCAGCUCAGAUCUAUAAGCUGCUUAGACCUUCCAAGCACUGUAGCUUAAAUAAUGGCAAUAGAAGCUUUGUUAGCUCCUGAUUUUUAUAGGUUUAAACACAGAAAAGAGGGAGCCAAUAUCUGUAGCCUCCUUUGGCUGCAGGGAGAGGGAUUGCUCUGCCUGGUUUCUUAGGAACACCUAAUAGAGCAAGACAGUCCCUAGUGCUGGGUGCAUGAGCUUCUCCUGCUCUACCACCCUACUAACGGUUUGUAGAAUUUUGGUAGGUGAUAAGGAAGGAACCUGAAGAGUGAUGCACCAGGGCUGGGAGUCACUACUAAGUGCUGUCCUAGCC
Pezoporus occidentalis (night parrot) is the source of this 3001-nucleotide long non-coding RNA. RefSeq lists it as uncharacterized. Lineage: Eukaryota; Metazoa; Chordata; Aves; Psittaciformes; Psittacidae. The transcript has 3 exons. The record is from RefSeq and is a predicted model, not a curated record.